AGUAGCGUGUCGCGUUGAUGUGGAGAAAUGAAACUAUAACCUAACCUGAAUCAAUCAUAGCCGGGGUGUCCACGGUCGGCUUGUCAAAUCCGUGACAAUUAUAAUUCAACGCGACGUUAUAUUUUU
This 126-nucleotide non-coding RNA is filed under the name Formica exsecta. The record is from RNAcentral. RNAcentral also lists the same sequence under 2 other names. Lineage: Eukaryota; Metazoa; Arthropoda; Insecta; Hymenoptera; Formicidae.